GCCUUCUCUCCUGAAGGACUGAACGAGAUGUGGAACGAGAUGGUGAAGGAUGGAGAGAUUGUCUUUGACCGAGAAGAGUCCGCCCAUCCAGAGGACUGUGCUGAUUGCACCCAAAAGAAAGAUGAU
Sinocyclocheilus rhinocerous is the source of this 126-nucleotide long non-coding RNA. RefSeq lists it as uncharacterized. NCBI's taxonomy places the organism in Eukaryota, Metazoa, Chordata, Actinopteri, Cypriniformes, Cyprinidae. The record is from RefSeq and is a predicted model, not a curated record. The transcript is spliced from 2 exons.